RNAcentral lists this ribosomal RNA (120 nucleotides) under Gossypium raimondii (Peruvian cotton). Lineage: Eukaryota; Viridiplantae; Streptophyta; Magnoliopsida; Malvales; Malvaceae. The record is from RNAcentral.
GGGUGCGAUCAUCCCAGCACUAAUGCGCUGUAUCUCAUAAGAACUCUCGCAGUUAGCGUGCUCGGGGCGAGAGUAGUACUAGGAUGGGUGUCCUCCUGGGAAGUGCUCGCGUUGUACCCC